UUUUGAUUAAUUUGUAAUUGUUUCGUUGAUAUUUAGGUUUUCGUUUUGGAUUAUACUCGAGAUUGAAAUCAAAACAUCAGUAAUAAUAAAUCGAAAGAAAUUCCAUGACACCAUUGGUUGAUUAAUAUCUUUAAGGUACUUCAUAAAUCAUUUGGUUUUAGGUUUAGCAUCUUCCCAUACGCCGAUUUUUCUGUAGGAAAAGGAUUUAGGAGAGCUGAGUUGAGGGGUUUUACAACCUUUGUUAACAUCACUAAAAGUUGGCUUAUCAAUUAAUUAUGCACGUUUUUUGUAAUUACGCGCAUAAAUAUUAUCACUGGACCGUGGGGUUGAAGAUAAACCAAAGAUUAUUUGGGGAUUAUGAUUUAAUUUAUGGAGCUAUUUGUUGUCUUGGCUGGGACAAAUUCGGAGUCUAUGACAGUUUGAGGUAGUUAUUCUUCUUUUCUUUAUGUAUUUUCUUUUCUGUUUUUCUUUUGAUUUUGUGAGCUUGUUUUAGGGUUGAGACUAGCACUCAGGUAUAUAUUAUUCUACUUUUUAUUUGAUGGUUUAAGACCCAUUGCGGAAGUUGUUAGCGAAAUCAUACACAAAACCACAUGUAGAUCAGCUGAUGUUGAUCGUCUAAAGAUAUAUUAGUUCAUUGUCUGGUCAAAUCUUAAUCAACCAAGUUAAACCUAUAAAUGCAAUUUGUUUUCCAUUUUAGUUUUCAUGUUGAAAUGAUGUGUAAAUUGUGCCUCAAUUACUAUAUGUGGUCAGCUGGCUGGGUAUAUCUAUGUCGACCGAACAAGCAGUUAAAAACUGGUUGCACUAGUUAGAAAAUCACCGAUAGAUGUUGUGGAAACAUCAAAUGACCUUUGCUAUGAGUUAAAGUUUUUUUUUUCAUUUGUAUUAUUUGGUUAUUAUUUUUGAUUUGCUUAUCACCGAUAGAUGUUGUUAGAACAUAAGACAUAACUACGCUUCAACUUAAAUACAAAUGUAUAAUUAUCAGAAGAAAACUGCUGACAUGUUGUUAUACAAUUGUAUACCUUAAGUGCUUUCGUGUCUCUACUGACAUUGGGUCAUCAUCUAUUUUAUAUAAACUACUCGCCAUUAGACAAACCUAUAAUUUGCUAACAACAUGGGUAUACAUCAGGGUCAAGAACCAAGUUGUGUAAUUACAUAUUUUGGCCUAAAGAUUUACUUCCAUGCAAUAAUUGUCAAGUUUCCACUUUUGGGAGGGGUGUUGUUAUUUGGAGUAUGACCAUGUUUGUUUUAUCUUCUACCUGAAACACAACACCA
This is a long non-coding RNA of Papaver somniferum (opium poppy), 1272 nucleotides long. RefSeq lists it as uncharacterized. Lineage: Eukaryota; Viridiplantae; Streptophyta; Magnoliopsida; Ranunculales; Papaveraceae. The record is from RefSeq and is a predicted model, not a curated record. The transcript has 3 exons.